RNAcentral lists this long non-coding RNA (955 nucleotides) under Olea europaea (common olive). RNAcentral describes it as "long non-coding RNA (OEUR_LNC009331)". Lineage: Eukaryota; Viridiplantae; Streptophyta; Magnoliopsida; Lamiales; Oleaceae. The record is from RNAcentral.
UUGACACAAAGGUCCCGUAAGAGAUCAUGAAUUCUACAUGUUUUAAUUUUGCCAUUAGACCCUUUCCUUUGAACCAAAAUAAGACUUCUAUGACGUAUGCCACUGUCAUCCACAAUCUUCUCUGGCGGUGUCUUUGUGGUAUCAACUUCGAGAAUUAGUUUGGCUAUUUCAUGGAAUGAAAUUGUAAAGAUGCCACCACUUUGAGUUGCAGAUUCUUCAAAAACUCUUUCUGCAAUGCAGGAUUCAAUUAUAUCUUCAGUGUGACAUGUUGCAUCACUGAUCUUUCUCUCCAAACCUUCUAUUGAUUCGAUGUUUUCUCGUGGAAAAUUGUCGAGAAAAUCUUGCAAGUAACCCACUUUUCCCAGGAGAGAUUCUAUUUGUUGUUUCUCACCCGGAAGAAGAUAUGAACAAUCAUACUUCAAGGUGCGCUGAAGAACGUGAGUAAGAGAGAGAAGAGCAGCAUACGCCAUUUCUGUUUUCUUCAGGUGGAAAGUGAGACCGCACCACUAAAGAAGAUAGCGUCUUGUCAUCACCCUGGAGCGUCCCUUUAGUUGCAUGGUAAAAUUGCGCUUCCUCUAAAGACGAUAGAGAAUUCUUCUCAACAUGAAUACUUACACGGCGCUUAUCAGUGCUUCCUUGAAUACCAUAAGGACCCCCUUUAAUGACGUGGAAAAACUUCUCUUUUUGAGCUUCUUUGACACAAAGGUCCCGUAAGAGAUCAUGAAUUCUACAUGUUUUAAUUUUGCCAUUAGACCCUUUCCUUUGAACCAAAAUAAGACUUCUAUGAACAAGAUCCAAAAAGUACUCCUCUCCUACAUCUUCCAACGUUUUAGAGCAUGCUGGUUUGAGGAUUCCCUCUGCAACCCACAACUUGGUAAGUACGUUGACUUUGAUGUCAAAAUCUUCUGGAAAAAUUCCCAUAUAGAGGAAGCACCCUUUCAAAUGAUGAGGCAAA